AGCAGCCGCGGUAAUUCCAGCUCCAAUAGCGUAUAUUAAAGUUGUUGCAGUUAAAAAGCUCGUAGUUGAAUUUCGGGAUCAAUGCGUCGGUCGUGCUUUCGGGUACGUACUGGUGUCAUUGGUUUCUCCUUUCUGACGAGCCGUGAUGUCAUUAAUUUGGUGUUACGGGUAGUUAGGACUGUUACUUUGAAAAAAUUAGAGUGUUUAAAGCAGGCAUUAGCUUGAAUACAUUAGCAUGGAAUAAUGAAAUAGGACGUUCGAUCCUAUUUUGUUGGUUUCUAGGAUCAACGUAAUGAUUAAUAGGGAUAGUUGGGGGCAUUAGUAUUCAAUUGUCAGAGGUGAAAUUCUUGGAUUUAUUGAAGACUAACUACUGCGAAAGCAUUUUGCCAAGGAUGUUUUCAUUAAUCAAGAACGAAAGUUAGGGGAUCGAAGACGAUCAGAUACCGUCGUAGUCUUAACCAUAAACUAUGCCGACUAGGGAUCGGAUGAUGUUAAUUUUUUCAAUGACUCAUUCGGCGCC
RNAcentral lists this ribosomal RNA (520 nucleotides) under uncultured Glomus. Its description in RNAcentral is "SSU rRNA". It matches the Rfam family "Eukaryotic small subunit ribosomal RNA", at positions 569 to 1087 of the family's 1831-position model. The record is from RNAcentral. Lineage: Eukaryota; Fungi; Glomeromycota; Glomeromycetes; Glomerales; Glomeraceae.